RNAcentral lists this long non-coding RNA (202 nucleotides) under Elaeis guineensis (African oil palm). RNAcentral's name for it is "long non-coding RNA (EGUI_LNC079630)". The record is from RNAcentral. Lineage: Eukaryota; Viridiplantae; Streptophyta; Magnoliopsida; Arecales; Arecaceae.
CUAUCCUGAAGUCUUUUGUAACUAUUGCAAAUAUGACUUAUACCAUCGAUAUCCUAUACCCAAGUAGUAGUAUUAUCAAUAAAAAAAUUUCAAGGAGUUAUCAUAUAACUAUUUUGACCAGCAAUCAUUUGCUGAUUUCUUUUUUAGACCUGUUUGGGUCAAAAAAAUCAAACAUUGAGGAUAAUUCCUUUUCUAAUGAUCC